CUGAAUGACAACAAUAUAGCCUUGUCACUACUAGUUGGCAAGUUGGUUGAUAUGGGGUGCAGUAGGCUAGCGUCAUUAUUAAUUGAGUCCCUUGACAAAAUUAUAUUAUUUUUGACUUGGUAAAAUAAGCUAAUUGUGUGCACUCUCACUAGAUAGAAUUGUGUGGUUUGGUGGCAGAUUUUCAAAAGGAAAUAGACAUAUACAGUAUAUCGUCAGCAAUUCUCAAUCAGAUGAGAUACAGAGCUAACCCAUAUUGAAUUUCAUUCAUAAAUGUGGACACUAAUUAUUGUUAAUAUUCUAAUUAUCUAGGCCCUCCAUUCCCAAACCUGAAGCCCCCUGUCCCGAGCAGGAAAGACCAGGAAAAGUGUUGGUUUAAUUAAGGUAUUUAGAGUUACUGACAUGAAUAAAAGCAUAUACAAGCAAUCUAUCAAAUGUAUUUUAUAAAGCCCCUUUUACAUCAGGAGUUGUCACAACGUGCUUAUACAGAUAUCCAGCCUAAAACCUCAAAGAGCAAGCAAUGUAGACGUGGCCAGGAAAUACUGAAUUAUGUUUUCAUGUUGUUUUAAAGGAAACUACGAUGGUAGUAUGAAGGAGAUCCAUUCUGUUUUUUUACUGUUUAUAAUAACACAGAUGUAACAUGACUGUAAGUACUUGAAUGGAGAAAUGUAUCGUGUUAGUCACAGUGCAAGGGUACCAUAUAAGUGUAGGUGCUUACUGUGCACAUAUUGAUUGAUGAAAGGCAGGAACCUAGAGAGGAACCAGGCUCUGAGGGGUGGUCAGUCCUCUUCUGGCUGUGCUGGUGGAGAUUAUAAAAGAGUACAGCCAUUUAGCCAGACUAUUCUUCAAGACGUUUAAACGUUCAUAGAUGACCAUCGGUGUCAAAUAAAAUAGGUUUAUAGAGGGUGCAAUAGUUCAGCACCUCAGGAGUAAAUGCCAGUUGGCUCUUUAUAGCUGAGCAUUUAGAGGUUGAGACAGUAGGUCCGGUAAAGAGAGACAGGAUCAAACAGCAGGUCUGGGACAAGUUAGUACCUCCAUUGAGCCUUGAGCAGGUCAGGGUUCCAUAGCUGCAGACAGAAACAGCAGAGACUGGAUCAGCAGCAUGACUAGGUGGACUGGAGACAGGGACAGCCAGGAAUCGUCAGGCCAGGUAGUCCUGAGGCAUGGUCCUAGAGCUCAUGUCCUGCAGCCUUUAUUUAACUUGAGUGUAGACUAAGCCCUAGAGGUUUGUAACUUCACAUGAUUUAGCCUACUUGUCAAUCCAGAUCUGAAUAUUUUAUAUAAUUUUUACUGUACACUGUUGAUAGUAAUUUUUCCCAAGCUAAUCACUGAAUGGCCUACUACAAGGAUGUGGUCAUAAUAACACAGAACACACACAUAUCAGAUUGCAACGGCAAGUACAAUGAGCAGUUAUGAAAAUGAAGUCUGCUGCGUGGGUUGCCAGAUACACACACACACACAAACUUAAUUCAUUUGUUGUAUUGUAUUUAUUAUGGAUCCCCAUUAGCUGCUGCCAAGACAGCAGUUACUCUUCUUCGGGUCCAGCAAAAUUAAGGCAGUUAUACAAUUUUAAAAACAUUACAAUACAUUUACAACACAUUAAGUGUGUUCCCUCAGGCCACUACUCUACUACCACAUAUCUACAACACAAAAUCCUUGUGCACGUGUGUGUACAGUGCGUAUGUUAUCGUGUGUAUGCAUGUGUCUCUUCACGGUCCCUGCUGUUCCAUAAGGCGUAUUUUAUCUGUUUUUUAAGAUCUAAUUUUACUGCUUGCAUGAGUUACUUGAUGUGGAAUAGAGUUCCAUGUAGUCAUGGCUCUAUGUACUACUGUACGCCUCCCAUUGUCUGUUCUGUUUAGGUUAGUGUGUAGUCAAGGCUUUGUCAUUAAAAUUAUAUUGUGGCCAUUUUUCAGAACUGCCAACCUGCUCGGUGGGUGACAGGUAACCAACCGUCUUUCCACCAAGCUGUUCCAGGUCUGAAGUGGCAGGCUGGAACUUCCAGAGGCUUGUAGACCUGAAGCAGUGUGAUGAUCAAACACACGUAUACACACUCAAUCAAUCACUCUGUUUUGUUGUAUAAUUAUUUUAACGUAAGAAAAUUGUUCCUCUCUAUUUUAGAUCUGACACCCCUAUUAGCUCAACCACAGUCUUCACAGCUGCAGUCGUCUGCCCCUGCAUCUGCUACACCGGCCACGACAGGUGAUACAGGUCUGCCAACCCCCAGCAGUUCAGCUGCUGUCACAGCAGUCCUCUGCUGUAGUAUUUAAUUUACCGGCUGCACCAGUUCCUACUACACUGGGAGUGAAGGGAGAAACUUUUGAGGAUACCCAGAUGGAUACAUAUCUGCCAUGCACUUCACCACUGCCUGACAGCCUCACCCAGAAGUGCAUACACUGGGCCUAUCAAGACUGACAAAGCAGAGAUGGGUGGCUGACAAGGAAAAAUAAAAUAACAUGCACUCACACACAUUAUCCACAAAGUAAAUAAGUUGUAAUUACUUGUUUAUUUAAUGUUUGCUCCAUUUUAUUUUCAGAUUGGAGAUAUCUACUCCUUCAUAACCAAUAUCUACAUAAUUACUGUAAAUAUCUAUCAAAUCAAAGUGUGAAUGAUAAUAUUGUAAAAGACUAUGGCUUAAUGUUUACAGUUUGAGGAAAUUCUGUGUGCUUUUUUCAGAGUUGAAAAACAUGUCUCCCUCUCACAAACGCACAUUAGACCCAAUGUAAAUAAAUUGUAAUAAGUUGUUUGUUGUAUGUAUGCUACAUUUUAUUUGAGGAAAAUAUCUGCAAUAAAGUACAUUCACAG
Molecule: long non-coding RNA, 2799 nt
Filed under: Salmo salar (Atlantic salmon)
Lineage: Eukaryota; Metazoa; Chordata; Actinopteri; Salmoniformes; Salmonidae
Description: lncRNA (ENSSSAG00000094282.1)
Source: RNAcentral